Molecule: ribosomal RNA, 636 nt
Filed under: uncultured bacterium
Lineage: Bacteria
Description: bacterial SSU rRNA
Rfam family: Bacterial small subunit ribosomal RNA
Source: RNAcentral
UCCUACGGGAGGCAGCAGUAGGGAAUAUUGGUCAAUGGGUGAGACUGACCAGCCAUGCCGCGUGCAGGAAGACGGCUGUUAACUGCUUUUUCCAGGGGAUAAAAUACCCGUGCGCGGGGAAUUGAAGGUACUGGUGAUAAGCCACGGCUAACUACGUGCCAGCAGCCGCGGUAAUACGUAGGUGGCAGCGUUGUCCGGAUUUAUUGGGUUUAAAGGGUGCGUAGGGGCCCUGUAAGUCAGUGGUGAAAUACGGCAGCUCAACUGUCGAGGUGCCAUUGAUACUGCAGGGCAGAGUACUGAUGAGGUAGGCGGAAUGGACGGUGUAGCGGUGAAAUGCUUAGAUAUCGUCCAGAACACCGAUAGCGAAGGCAGCUUACUAAGGAGUAACUGACGCUGAGGCACGAAAGUGUGGGGAUCAAACAGGAUUAGAUACCCUGGUAGUCCACACUGUAAACGAUGAUCACUAGAUGUUGGCGAUACACUGCCAGCGUUCCAGCAAAAGCGAUAAGUGAUCCACCUGGGGAGUACGCCCGCAAGGGUGAAACUCAAAGGAAUCGGGUCCGCACAAGCGGUGGAGCAUGUGGUUUAAUUCGAUAUACAGGAACCUUACCUGGGCUAGAAUGCCUUUGACCGAUC